GAAGGUGUACUGUGAGGUAUGCUGGAGGUAUCAGAAGUGCGAAUGCUGACAUAAGUAACGAUAAAGCGGGUGAAAAGCCCGCUCGCCGGAAGACCAAGGGUUCCUGUCCAACGUUAAUCGGGGCAGGGUGAGUCGACCCCUAAGGCGAGGCCGAAAGGCGUAGUCGAUGGGAAACAGGUUAAUAUUCCUGUACUUGGUGUUACUGCGAAGGGGGGACGGAGAAGGCUAUGUUGGCCGGGCGACGGUUGUCCCGGUUUAAGCGUGUAGGCUGGUUUUCCAGGCAAAUCCGGAAAAUCAAGGCUGAGGCGUGAUGACGAGGCACUACGGUGCUGAAGCAACAAAUGCCCUGCUUCCAGGAAAAGCCUCUAAGCAUCAGGUAACAUCAAAUCGUACCCCAAACCGACACAGGUGGUCAGGUAGAGAAUACCAAGGCGCUUGAGAGAACUCGGGUGAAGGAACUAGGCAAAAUGGUGCCGUAACUUCGGGAGAAGGCACGCUGAUAUGUAGGUGAAGCGACUUGCUCGUGGAGCUGAAAUCAGUCGAAGAUACCAGCUGGCUGCAACUGUUUAUUAAAAACACAGCACUGUGCAAACACGAAAGUGGACGUAUACGGUGUGACGCCUGCCCGGUGCCGGAAGGUUAAUUGAUGGGGUUAGCGGUAACGCGAAGCUCUUGAUCGAAGCCCCGGUAAACGGCGGCCGUAACUAUAACGGUCCUAAGGUAGCGAAAUUCCUUGUCGGGUAAGUUCCGACCUGCACGAAUGGCGUAAUGAUGGCCAGGCUGUCUCCACCCGAGACUCAGUGAAAUUGAACUCGCUGUGAAGAUGCAGUGUACCCGCGGCAAGACGGAAAGACCCCGUGAACCUUUACUAUAGCUUGACACUGAACAUUGAGCCUUGAUGUGUAGGAUAGGUGGGAGGCUUUGAAGUGUGGACGCCAGUCUGCAUGGAGCCGACCUUGAAAUACCACCCUUUAAUGUUUGAUGUUCUAACGUUGGCCCGUUAUCCGGGUUGCGGACAGUGUCUGGUGGGUAGUUUGACUGGGGCGGUCUCCUCCUAAAGAGUAACGGAGGAGCACGAAGGUUGGCUAAUCCUGGUCGGACAUCAGGAGGUUAGUGCAAUGGCAUAAGCCAGCUUGACUGCGAGCGUGACGGCGCGAGCAGGUGCGAAAGCAGGUCAUAGUGAUCCGGUGGUUCUGAAUGGAAGGGCCAUCGCUCAACGGAUAAAAGGUACUCCGGGGAUAACAGGCUGAUACCGCCCAAGAGUUCAUAUCGACGGCGGUGUUUGGCACCUCGAUGUCGGCUCAUCACAUCCUGGGGCUGAAGUAGGUCCCAAGGGUAUGGCUGUUCGCCAUUUAAAGUGGUACGCGAGCUGGGUUUAGAACGUCGUGAGACAGUUCGGUCCCUAUCUGCCGUGGGCGCUGGAGAACUGAGGGGGGCUGCUCCUAGUACGAGAGGACCGGAGUGGACGCAUCACUGGUGUUCGGGUUGUCAUGCCAAUGGCACUGCCCGGUAGCUAAAUGCGGAAGAGAUAAGUGCUGAAAGCAUCUAAGCACGAAACUUGCCCCGAGAUGAGUUCUCCCUGACUCCCUGAGAGUCCUGAAGGAACGUUGAAGACGACGACGUUGAUAGGCCGGGUGUGUAAGCGCAGCGAUGCGUUGAGCUAACCGGUACUAAUGAACCGUGAGGCUUAACCUUACAACGCCGAAGGUGUUU
RNAcentral lists this ribosomal RNA (1713 nucleotides) under Escherichia coli. RNAcentral's name for it is "partial 23S ribosomal RNA". It matches the Rfam family "Bacterial large subunit ribosomal RNA", at positions 1252 to 2925 of the family's 2925-position model. The record is from RNAcentral. Lineage: Bacteria; Pseudomonadati; Pseudomonadota; Gammaproteobacteria; Enterobacterales; Enterobacteriaceae.